CAGCCCUAAACGAUGCGCGUUAGGUGUAUCGGUGACCACGAGUCACCGAGGUGCCGAAGGGAAACCGUGAAACGUGCCGCCUGGGAAGUACGGUCGCAAGGCUGAAACUUAAAGGAAUUGGCGGGGGAGCACCACAAGAGGUGGAGGCUGCGGUUCAAUUGGACUCAACGCCGGGAAGCUCACCGGAUAAGACAGCGGAAUGAUUGCCGGGCUGAAGACUCUGCAUGACUAGCUGAGAGGUGGUGCAUGGCGUAACGUCU
RNAcentral lists this ribosomal RNA (260 nucleotides) under uncultured archaeon. RNAcentral describes it as "partial 16S ribosomal RNA". It matches the Rfam family "Archaeal small subunit ribosomal RNA", at positions 748 to 1006 of the family's 1478-position model. The record is from RNAcentral.